GGCGGGCCCUCGGCGUCUGCGGCUGUGUGAGCUUCCGCCAGGUCCUUCACCUCUCUGUGCAUCCUUUCCUCAGCAGUAAAUGGGGUAACAACAGAACCCCGCCCCGGAGAUGUGAGGGCAGGACUCCUUACUUACAAGAGUGACCUUUAGCUCUUCAACAUGGCCAGAGAAGCAAACUUACUAGAAGUAGAUGGGGAUGAAGUCCAGAAGCCCAUUUCCAGCCGACCUAUCACUUGUGCUUUGAAACCCCACCGUCUCAUGGGUCUGGAAUAUGGAAUCGUGGAAAACUCUCAUUCAAGAACCGCGCUAGCCUGCCUCCUGCAACAAGCCUGAUUCAUAAAAUGCCAGAACACCGUCCACUCCCUCAGCACGUUCCAUUUCUCGUGAUGGUUCUCAUCUGGAUAAGAUCUGCUUUGAGCUGUCGUGUCAUUGACUCGAGUACAUUUGUACCUUCCAAUUCAGUGCCUGACGAGGGGUCUCCAUUUGCUAUGAGAUGCAGGGAUCAUCGAAAUCACCAACACCAAAAUGAAACAAAAUCCAAUACCUGACUAAUUGCAGAGCUCGCUAACUGGGAACCCUCCAAACCCUCCAGGCAGUUCGAGGCUACAGAUGUGGUUUCUUUGUUCGUUGGCUUGGCUACACAGUGUUUUGUUUUAGUUUUUGCAUAGUUUUCAAAAUUUAAAGAUUUGCAGAUUUCUCCUAAAAAUCAGGAUUUCUGACCUGUGUUGGAAAGUUGGAAGAUUUGGGGACUCUGGCCCCGUCAUCCUGAAUGGUAACACGUGGCAGGCCCCGUUAGAGAGGGCAGCUUACCUCCAGUUUAUAGGCUCCACUGGUCCUGUCGUCCAAUACAUUCUGCUCAUUCAUUUAGGUGACUAGCCUGUAGGUCAUCACAAGGAUAUUUUAUUUAGCCAGUAGUUCUUUAGCUAUUUUUCACUAGGCAAAAAUGUCCUUAUGUAGAUGUUUCCUUUAACUGUGGGCUAUAACAGAGGACAUGGGUCAAGGAAAAAUAAAGGUGACAGCAGGCUCUGCUACAAUUAAAAUUAAAUCUAAAACAGGAAGUCCUUCUCAAAGCUACUCGUCUCUUAGUUUUAUGUAUGCAUGCUACAUGCAGAUUGUCUCUCCCAUGUUUUAUAACUGUGUUAAUAUCCUUGAAUGUGAAUUUUUAUUGAAUGAUAAUAUUCCCGCUUGCAAUUCUGGAGGGCUGGAGUUAGGAGAAGGAAUUUCCAAAUUUGGAAACAAAAAUUGGGGCAUAUUCCAUGUUUUUGGAAAAUCUGUAUUUGUAGCCACGAGCUACAUUUUUAUUGUCAUACUGAAAUGUGCCUUGGUUUUGUGAACUGGGAUAAAACUCGAGUUAUACUAGAGUCAAAAUUCUCCAUGUAAUACUUUGUCCUUCCCAAGGUGGUUUAUAAAGGAGUAGGUAUAAUAAAGACAUUUCAAAAGUCUUAGUUAUUCAUGGCCUUGCUCUCAAGCCAAGGAUCUAAGAGACCCUCAAAUUUCAUACCAGCCAUUUGGAAUGUGAACCUUAAAUCCCCCUCUUACAUUGGAGAACAGCAGGUUUGCUAUCUACUGCCACUUCCAAGACAGGGCUGAGUUACACUGAAACACUACCUGGGGAUCGUGUGGCAUUUACAAGGGGAGAUGUUUGAAGACGACAAGGCAGCAAAAUACACAUGUCACUGUUAGGGGUAGUUUCCAACAAGAUAGUGGGAAGAAUACUCACAAGGUUUCUUUUUUUCAUUCGUUAUUUAGGGGGACUUUUGUCAAAUCUUUUUCAUUGCUUCCCAUUGGCUCCAGAGACAGGCAAAUAGGGCUUUAUUAGAACUGGGUGAACCACCAAGAAUAGUUCAUGAAAAGACAGCAGGAAGGUGUGCACGCAGGGCGUCUGAACGUAAAAAAUGAAGACCCGGGUGCCUGGGUGGCUCUGUCGGUGAAGCAUCUGCUUU
Ailuropoda melanoleuca (giant panda) is the source of this 1943-nucleotide long non-coding RNA. RefSeq lists it as uncharacterized. The transcript has 3 exons. NCBI's taxonomy places the organism in Eukaryota, Metazoa, Chordata, Mammalia, Carnivora, Ursidae. The record is from RefSeq and is a predicted model, not a curated record.